Molecule: long non-coding RNA, 280 nt
Filed under: Lathyrus oleraceus (garden pea)
Lineage: Eukaryota; Viridiplantae; Streptophyta; Magnoliopsida; Fabales; Fabaceae
Description: Pisum sativum (pea) long non-coding RNA (PSAT_LNC008566)
Source: RNAcentral
UUAGAGUGAGAAUAAGGAGUGCGAGCGAUUGGGAGAAGACGAGUGGAGAUUUAGGGAAUGGAGACCAUCUUCGUGAGGAAGACGAGCGAAUCUCUGGAUUUGCAACGAGGUCUCUCACCUUCUUUUCUUUUAUUUAUUUUUUAAAAACCAAGCAUUUAAAACUUAAUAUUGUUUAGUCUUCCCUUGCACCUUUUUAUUUAAUUAGUGUCUAUCCAUUAAUCUCUUUUGGAAAUCCAACAGCCAGGCGGCUAGGGUUACUUUUUGGAUUCCUCCAUCGUUU